Molecule: ribosomal RNA, 253 nt
Filed under: uncultured bacterium
Lineage: Bacteria
Description: partial 16S ribosomal RNA
Rfam family: Bacterial small subunit ribosomal RNA
Source: RNAcentral
GACGUAGGGCGCGAGCGUUGUCCGGAUUUAUUGGGCGUAAAGAGCUCGUAGGCGGUUUGUCGCGUCGGGAGUGAAAUCCACUGGCUUAACUGGUGGCUUGCUUUCGAUACGGGCAGACUGGAGGUAUGCAGGGGAGAACGGAAUUCCUGGUGUAGCGGUGAAAUGCGCAGAUAUCAGGAGGAACACCGGUGGCGAAGGCGGCGACCUGGGUAGAUACUGACGCUGAGGCGCGAAAGCGUGGGGAGCAAACAGG